UUUCCGGUUGAUCCUGCCGGACCUGACUGCUAUCGGAUUGAUACUAAGCCAUGCAAGUCUUUGUAGUAAUACAAGGCAUACGGCUCAGUAACGCGUAGUCAACCUACCCUAUGGAUGAGGAUAAUCUCGGGAAACUGAGCAUAAUACUCAACAGAUCAUCAAUUCUGGAAUGGUUGAUGAUUCAAAUGAUUUUUCGCCAUAGGAUGGGACUGCGACCUAUCAGCUUGUUGGUGAGGUAAUGGCCCACCAAGGCAAUUACAGGUACGGGCUCUGAGAGGAGAAGCCCGGAGAUGGGUACUGAGACAAGGACCCAGGCCCUAUGGGGCGCAGCAGGCGAGAAAACUUUGCAAUGUGCGAAAGCACGACAAGGUUAAUCCGAGUGAUUUCUGCUAAAGGAAUCUUUUACCAGUUCUAAAAAUACUGGCGAAUAAGGGGUGGGCAAGUUCUGGUGUCAGCCGCCGCGGUAAAACCAGCACCUCAAGUGGUCAGGAGGAUUAUUGGGCCUAAAGCAUCCGUAGCCGGCUCUGUAAGUUUUCGGUUAAAUCUAUAUGCUCAACAUAUAGGCUGCCGAAAAUACUGCACAGCUAGGGAAUGGGAGAGGUAGACGGUACUCGGUAGGAAGGGGUAAAAUCCUUUGAUCUAUCGAUGACCACCUGUGGCGAAGGCGGUCUACCAGAACAUGUUCGACGGUGAGGGAUGAAAGCUGGGGGAGCAAACCGGAUUAGAUACCCGGGUAGUCCCAGCUGUAAACGAUGCAGACUCGAUAAUGCACUGGCACAUAGCCAGUGCAGUGUCGCAGGGAAGCCGUUAAGUCUGCCGCCUGGGAAGUACGUACGCAAGUAUGAAACUUAAAGGAAUUGGCGGGGGAGCACCACAAGGGGUGAAGCCUGCGGUUCAAUUGGAGUCAACGCCGGG
Molecule: ribosomal RNA, 915 nt
Filed under: uncultured archaeon
Lineage: Archaea
Description: SSU rRNA
Rfam family: Archaeal small subunit ribosomal RNA
Source: RNAcentral